This 84-nucleotide transfer RNA is filed under the name Phycisphaerales bacterium. Its description in RNAcentral is "tRNA-Leu". It matches the Rfam family "tRNA". From Rfam's summary of the family: Transfer RNA (tRNA) molecules are approximately 80 nucleotides in length. Their secondary structure includes four short double-helical elements and three loops (D, anti-codon, and T loops). Lineage: Bacteria; Pseudomonadati; Planctomycetota; Phycisphaerae; Phycisphaerales. The record is from RNAcentral. RNAcentral also lists the same sequence under 1 other name.
GCGGCUGUGGCGAAAUUGGCAGACGCGCAAGAUUCAGGUUCUUGUGGGAGCAAUCCCGUGCUGGUUCAAAUCCAGUCAGCCGCA